AAAAACUCAACGAGUAAAGUCUUCUUAUUUGGGAUUUUACAAUCUUAUCGGUUUUAAUGGGUUCAAAUGACAAUAUGUCGCAUUAAGGAAACGAUUUCCACGUUAUCCCUUAUGGGGAUUGGGCACCCAUAUUUUCAGAGGCCGAGUCAGAUUGCAAUCCCUGCAAUUUGAACAAGGGUGUGUUUACUUUCGGCUACCCCUUUGAUUGCCCGAUUGCGUGGGCCGGGCCAAUGUCUUUUGGACAUGUUUGUCGCGACCGCGAUUCGAUAUCAGUUGUACUGGCGGAGAUAAGCCAUAAAUAAACGGAGGGAAAGAAAACAUUUCACAGAAACAAAAAACAAAAAAAAAUGGUAUUCAUAUCUAUGUGGUUUACCUGUACAUCGAAAAACCGGUUCGCAGAUUCUUUUCACCUGGGCGAACUGCCAAUCUGGGAGACGAGGUAAAAGUGCCAAAAUGUAUAUCGUUUUAAUGGGUUCUCUAUGUGAGGCCGAGACUGUGUGUAGUGCAAUCAGAAAGCAUAAUCGAGGCAAUCGACCAUGAAACUGAGCAACAACUACGCAAACUAUCUAUAAGAUACAUUUCCCAUCGCACAGCCAAUUGUGGCCAGGAAGGGGGGAAAAGUUUAUACAGAACUUCCUGUUGCUAAAAUUUACAACGGAACGUUUUCAACAUUGAAUUCGAAUAUUGGCAAAUAUUGGUUGGAUUUCAAAGCACUGGUAUUUUGAUUUCAGCUUUUGAACGCGCGACGGCGACGAACACAACUGAGUUAUGAAAACUGAAUGAAAAGCACAAAGCAGAGCAAAGUAAACUUGUUUGCCGCCUGCCCACCCCCAACAAAGGCAGGGAAAGAGCGAGCAAUAUGAAGAGAGAGAGAAACAUCAAUAUUGGCGCUUUUUAGCAUUUUGACUUAACAACACUGGCAGUGAGAACGAGGCAUUACCAUCUGGUAAAAAAGCUUUCAAAACUUGUUGCUCUUGUCUCUUUUGUUUUUCUCUUUCCCAAAAAUAUAAGAAACCGACACUUUAAAGAUAUAUUAACGAAUAUCGAAAAUAAUUGGAGUCUUAAAUUGUUCGAACUCGUAGUAUUCGUAUAUUUUAUACAGAUUAGAGUAUAUCCCUUACAGUUUUCGAUUUACCCCUCUCUUUCUCUUCUUAAUGCCCCUCUCUUUCUCGCACACCAAAACCGCUGCAAAUUUGAAUUAAUGGUUCACCCUGUUGCUUUUUAUCUUUUAAUUGAGCUGAGCUGCAAUUCAAGUGGACCGUGUGAGAUCUACGAGCUCUGGGGUUUUCCCCGCUUCGGGAAAGAAAAUCAUCUUAAUUGAAUUCAUUCAUAAAUUGCAGCUUUGAACUGGACCAACAAGUCUCUAUCUGGUAAACAUCUACGAGAGUGGUCCAUAAUUUAGCAAAAUUAAAUGAAAGGCUGUUUGGAAAAUGGUUUUAUUGAUGUCAUUCAGUUGUGAUAAAAAUGUAAUCACUGAGGAAUUAAUUUUAAAUGGAUUAAUAUAAGAUUUAUUUAUUGUAGAGAGUUAUUGAAAUGAAAUCCAUAGAAUGUAUUAUAACCUUUGUUUACUCCUUUUCCCUUCUAAUAUCUUUGCUAAUUGAAAUGCCAUAUUUCCCAUAUUUUUCCAACUGUAAUAACAAAUUUCUCAAUAAUGGAAAUCUUAAAUCAAGUGAAAGAACUAAAAUUUAGUAACUGCAAUCCCACCACAGCACUGAUCCUAUAAACAGACCGAAGGGGCGCCGAAAGAUAUCUUAACAUUGCCCCAAGAUGAGGAAUAGUCGGCGCAAGAGUAAAUCCCCCAAACCACGGCAUGAUCGCCUGCUACACCGCAGUCCGUCCGUUUGUCCGCUCAUCUGUCCGUUCGUCGGACAGUCCGUUCCCCCAAUUGACGUCAACGGCGCCGACUAAAGUCAGUGAGGCAGGCCGUAAGAGGCACGUACUGGAAAUCAAAUGAUGUAGUUUCUACAUUAUAUAGACAAAGGCGACGUCGGCAAUGGAAAGCAGGGUACAGAAAUAAAACAUUCGGUUCCACUUUAGAACGAGACGAAGAGCAACGCACAAAAUCCAACAAAGAUCCAGAUAUUGGCUAUAUAAGCGAAUACAAUUAUAUUUUUAGAGGAGAUACAAGAAAUCUUUUAUCAAUUUAAGAGAAUUUUACUCAGAUACUUUCUUGGCCCAGGUCGAGAGUGCGAAUUGGCAGAUGUUUCGUUGCGUCUGGAAUCGUUCAAUAUCAAUAGAUAUAUCUGGGCUAACCACUUUAAAUGGGCAACUGGAAAUCCCCGGGCCAACUGCAGUUGACGCAUUUCCAGUCGACGCAUUUGUGUCUUAAUAAACAAAAGCCGCAUGAAAUUUAUUAUAAACAAAUAGCUUGCUAUCGUUCGAUCUAUGUGCCGGCAAUUUUAAUGGUUUGUGUUGUUUGGUUCUCUGAAUUUGCCAACGAAAAUGAGCAGAAAACGUGUUUGAAAAGUGGAAAAUUAAUGUUUAUUUUUAAUAGAUUGGAACUAUUUAAAGUGUGGCACUACGCACCAAACUGCGUUUUAAUUUUCAGCUUCAGUUCGUUUUAUGACCGCAUAUUUAAAGUUUGAAAUGACAUUUACAACCUGCGCUGGCCUUUAAAAAUGGUUAUAAAUGCAUUUGGAUUUUGUGAAAGCUGAGAACAUAUCUUUUUUAAACAAACCUAAUUUUAUAAUAUACUGUAAAAAUCAAGUAACGACAAAUAUGAAAUAAAUUGGCACUUCCUGUUUUCACUCGCAAUUU
Long non-coding RNA from Drosophila simulans, 2757 nucleotides. RefSeq lists it as uncharacterized. The transcript has 4 exons. The record is from RefSeq and is a predicted model, not a curated record. NCBI's taxonomy places the organism in Eukaryota, Metazoa, Arthropoda, Insecta, Diptera, Drosophilidae.